ACUCCUACGGGAGGCAGCAGUGGGAAUAUUGCACAAUGGGGAAAGCCAUCGAUGCAGCCAUGCCGCGUGUGUGAAGAAGGCCUUCGGGCUUGGUAAAGCACUUUCAGUAGGGAGGAAGGUAGUGUAGUUAACACCUGCACUAUUUGACGUUACCUACAGAAGAAGCACCGGCUAACUCCGUGCCAGCAGCCGCGGUAAUACGGAGGGUGCGAGCGUUAAUCGGAAUUACUGGGCGUAAAGCGCAUGCAGGCGGCCUGUUAAGUCAGAUGUGAAAGCCCGGGGCUUAACCUCGGAAUUGCAUUUGAAACUGGCAGGCUAGAGUCUUGUAGA
Molecule: ribosomal RNA, 330 nt
Filed under: uncultured bacterium
Lineage: Bacteria
Description: bacterial SSU rRNA
Rfam family: Bacterial small subunit ribosomal RNA
Source: RNAcentral